GUUUGUACCAAAUCAAGAAUAUGACAGUUGUUAUCAAUUCGUUUGGUGUGUUUGGGAUUUAGAUUAUUUUCAUGUGCUAAAGAACUGUCCAUUCUCAAUUUUACUUAUAUUUCAUCUGUAAUAAGCUAUCAAAUCUCCGUCCUUUCGCUCACUAUGCAUGCUGCUGACUAUAUAGAAAUACGGAAUUGGAAGCUUGAUCAAUAUUAUUAUAGGAUUAAACACAUUUUUUCUAGAGGUUAUUGAUGUG
Molecule: long non-coding RNA, 247 nt
Filed under: Mytilus galloprovincialis (Mediterranean mussel)
Lineage: Eukaryota; Metazoa; Mollusca; Bivalvia; Mytilida; Mytilidae
Source: RNAcentral